CUUCCAUUUCGCACCAGCAAUCACAAAGAGAAGGAAGACUUGGCUUAACUACUUUGCCAAGAUUUCAAGCUGCUCCAGUCCAGUAGUACCCCAACACUCGAAGCUAGAGUUUAUUGGGUGAAAAACCGUGCAUGAGGUCGAGCGCAAGAAUAAGAGCUCGUCAAGGAGUCACUAAUCUGUAGCAAAGCUUUGCUAUCAGGUUGAGCAGCUGCCGAUGGUGAUGAAGUGACGAGCGGGACUCUUUUGUCUUAUUAUGUAUUAAUGAACUCUAGGGUUACAUGUCUUCAUACAUGUAAUCAGAACCUUAUUCCGCUGCGUACUCAGAAGUUUUAUGUUAUUUUGGAUAAGUCGGAGUUAUCCGAACUUGUUAGUUAUUUGAGUCUAUACGACAAAAACUCUGUUAUAUUAUAGAUAUCUAUGUUGUUAACAAUGAUGAAAUA
Salvia miltiorrhiza (redroot sage) is the source of this 440-nucleotide long non-coding RNA. RefSeq lists it as uncharacterized. The record is from RefSeq and is a predicted model, not a curated record. The transcript is spliced from 3 exons. NCBI's taxonomy places the organism in Eukaryota, Viridiplantae, Streptophyta, Magnoliopsida, Lamiales, Lamiaceae.